GGCUCCUUGUUAAUAGAUAAAUAAGGAGUCGGACCUGCCCAGUGAAAUUAUUUCAACGGCCGCGGUACUCUGACCGUGCAAAGGUAGCAUAAUCAUUUGCCUUAUAAUUGAAGGCUGGUAUGAAUGGUUUGACAAGAAUAUAGCUGUCUCUUUAUAAUUUAAUAGAACUUUAUUUUGGGGUGAAGAAGCCCCAAUUAAAUUAAAAGACAAGAAGACCCUAUCGAGCUUUAAAAAAAUUAAUGGAAUAUGCAAUAUUAAUACAAAGAUAAAAAAUUAGCUAUUAAAAAUUUUGGUUGGGGCGACUAAGGAACAAAAAUAGCUUCCUUUAUAAAUGUUAUAACAUACAAGUAUUGAUCCAAAAUUUUUGAUUAAAGGAAUUAGUUACCGUAGGGAUAACAGCAUUAUCCUCUUUGAGAGUUCUUAUCGAAAAGGGGGUUUGUGACCUCGAUGUUGGACCAGAAUAUCCUAAAGAUGCAGAAGUCUUUAAGGGUUGGUCUGUUCGACCAUUAAAAUUCU
Molecule: ribosomal RNA, 516 nt
Filed under: Polystira sp. R-GUY-3
Lineage: Eukaryota; Metazoa; Mollusca; Gastropoda; Neogastropoda; Turridae
Description: LSU rRNA
Rfam family: Bacterial large subunit ribosomal RNA
Source: RNAcentral